GGGAAUAUUGCUCAGCAGUAGAGCACUUGCUUAGCAUGUGCAAGGCCCUGGGUUCCAUUCCCAGUACCCCCC
This 72-nucleotide transfer RNA is filed under the name Ictidomys tridecemlineatus (thirteen-lined ground squirrel). RNAcentral's name for it is "Spermophilus tridecemlineatus (thirteen-lined ground squirrel) tRNA". It matches the Rfam family "tRNA". From Rfam's summary of the family: Transfer RNA (tRNA) molecules are approximately 80 nucleotides in length. Their secondary structure includes four short double-helical elements and three loops (D, anti-codon, and T loops). Further hydrogen bonds mediate the characteristic L-shaped molecular structure. tRNAs have two regions of fundamental functional importance: the anti-codon, which is responsible for specific mRNA codon recognition, and the 3' end, to which the tRNAs corresponding amino acid is attached (by aminoacyl-tRNA synthetases). tRNAs cope with the degeneracy of the genetic code in two manners: having more than one tRNA (with a specific anti-codon) for a particular amino acid; and 'wobble' base-pairing, i.e. permitting non-standard base-pairing at the 3rd anti-codon position. The record is from Rfam by way of RNAcentral. Lineage: Eukaryota; Metazoa; Chordata; Mammalia; Rodentia; Sciuridae.